Molecule: non-coding RNA, 234 nt
Organism: Arachis ipaensis
Lineage: Eukaryota; Viridiplantae; Streptophyta; Magnoliopsida; Fabales; Fabaceae
Source: RefSeq, a predicted model, not a curated record
CCAAAAUGGACUCCAGAAAAAGAAAGCAGAGGCAAGAGGAGUCAGAUUCUGAUUCAGAAUCUGAAUCUGAACCAAGUGAUGAGAGCGAAGAAUCAUCACCUGCAGAGAAGGAGAAGAAAAAGAAAAAAACAAAAACAACACCAAAAAAAACACAACCAAAAAAGAAAAAAGUUGUUGUGGAGGAUUCACCUCCUAAAGAAGAUCAAUACUUUGACGGGUACAGUACCUCGUAAG